UGCUGUAAAGAAAUGUUAACGUUGCAAUAUAUCUUUUAAAAAAUAAAUUCAUUUAUGCAUGAAAUAUCACAGGAAUCAGAUGAAAUGAUAUUAAUGUUGACCUCCUUUAAUACUAAAAAUCAUAUUUUUCAUUUUUAAUUGUUACUGUGCCUGUGUUGCCAUUUUUUCUUAGCGGUGAAGGUCUUUUUGUUUGAGUUAUCAAGUAUUUGGGUCCAGCAGUUAAAAAAACAACACAUUUGUUAACACCUUCAAGGAGUCCCUGUUAUCAAGAAUAUCAAAUAGGAUUAUCAAUAUACCAAUGAGAUAAAAGUUGACUAAAAAUGAUAAUUUGUGAUUGUUAUUUAGAUUUAGAUGAUCUUUGAUUUAGCUUGAAAUGUGUUCUCAUUGUUUCCAGUUGUCUCUAGAGAUUGGAUAACCUAACAUUAUUGUCUUUCAUUUUGAUUUUUCAAUUGGUAUCUGUUACUAAAAGGUGAUACAUCAUGUGCCCAUGCAAACAUCAACUCUGAUGCAGCUAUCUCAGAAGAUCUUUUACAAAUUGUAAUAUUUUUAAAAUUGAAAAUAGAGGUUACUUAAUAAUUUUUUUUAUUGACCUUUUUUUUUUGUAAUUAGAUUGGACAUGAAGACUAUAUAUUGUUAUUGAUAUAGUUCACCUGCAACUGCAGACCACUAUCAUACUUGUUAAGUAUGUUCUUAAAAAAUGUAUCAGCUAACCAUUGAUAAAGGAAAACUUGAGAGAAUUGUUACAUUUAUUAGAGUACAUACAAAAACUAAUGUUGGAAUCUUUAUUUAUAACUUUUAAUAUUGUGAUUUAUUUUUCUCCAAAUUUUUAAUUAAACAUCAACAUUAAUUUGUUCAUCUGUGAACAUUUUUUUUUGCAUCAUUUUGUGGCCAUAUUUCUUUGACUUCAUUUAAACCUUUUUUUUUUUGUUAUUUCAUUUGUUUACAUUUCCAUGAUAUCACUUUUUUAAAAAUAAGAUUGCAUUUUUUUUUUUUGUUCACUGCAUACAAAAUUUCUAGUCUUUGAUUGUUUUCUUCAAUAUUUGUCAUUGACAAAGAAAAAAAAAUUGUUGAAGGAACAAUUGUUAAUUAUGCUUGGCAUAAUUCUUCCCAUUUUUUUUUUUAAGGAGUGGUAUCAAUUAAUAUUAAUUAAGAGGUAAAAAGUAUAUUGGACAGUGUAAAAGUACUAUAGAAAGACUGUAAGUAAACUCUGGUGAAAGGGUACAGAGGUAAGUGUAUGAAGUGAACCCCUUUUUUAAAGGUGCAUUAGUCAAACUAUGUAGUCUACACCUUUGUAAAAAAAAACAACAUUUGCAAGUCUAUGAAGCCAUUUGCGCAUAACUUAUGAUCAUCAAUUUUGGAAUUUAAAAAAAAAAAAAAAGCUUCAAAAAGAUAAAGUUUAGUCAUGUGGAAAGAUGGCAUUAUUCUGGAUAGGAAUAUAUCAUUUUACAAUAUAGCUAGCCCUGGCCUUCUAUGUACAACAUUGUCUUUAAGGCUUCAAAGUUAAAUUGUAUUAAAUAAGUUGAACCUUGAGUCAAUAAUACUGAUUGUCUUUCUUAUGGACCUGAUUUUUCUUUCAUUUUUUUCUUAAUAUAUUUUUAGUUCCCAGUUUCCAAUGUCAAAAUGAGCAUUUAAUUUCUGGGUUGAAAAAAAAAUUAUUAAGUCUCGUAAAUGGAAAUACUUUUAAAAAAAAAUAAUAAUUGUAAAUAAUACAUUAUGAACCCUAAUCCUUAGUUUUGAAAAAAAACAAAAAAAAACAAAACAUUUCUUUAAACACAUAUUGUUACUUUCAAAAAUGUAUAAUUAUGUAAAGUAAUAUUCCCAAUUCCCUUUAAAAUGAUGACAUAGAGUUAAACUUUGAAAAUAUCUUCGACUUUCAAUUAUAUUCUUCUAUUCAGAACUUUUUGUCAGCAGCUUAACUUAUUGACUUAUAAAAUAAAAAUAGGCUUGUACAAAUAUUGCCAGCUAUUCUCUAUUUUUUAAUGUCACUUUAUUGUUUUUCUUUUUUCCCUUCAAUUUGCUCACAUUAAUACUUUACUAGUGUAUUUUUUUAAAAACAGUUUUGAUUACUUUCCAUUUAAUGAUGUUUGAAUUUAAAAAUUUCUAAUAUUAGUGAAUAUGUUUCUGUUACCGUACUGAUAUUUAUAUAUUAAUGUUGAGACUGUAAGAAUUUGUGCUGUGACUUGCUGUGGCAUUAAUUCUACUGAUUCCAAAGAGUGCAGAUGACUUUUAAAAUAUCACUGGUAUGCUUAUAUCAAACAGCCAAGUCCAUAUUGGAAAUGGAAUUAAUUACAAAAUAACAACAUUCACCACUGGAGUAGUAAGGGUCAAAACAGUGCUGAGGUCAAAAGUAGCAAAGCCUGGCAUUUUGUGCUUGUGAUAAAGAAGAAAAAGAAGAAGAAUUAAGGGAAGGUCUUUAUACAUCACACAUGGUAUCAUAUCCUCUGUGCUGAAUAAAGUACAGAACAUUAUCUGGAGUAUCUUUCUUUAGAGUCAUUGCUGUCUGGCUGUAUUUUUUUUUUUAAUGCAUUUUUUUAAAAUAUAGCUUUUAUACUUUAGAAUUACACUGUGUUCCCUUAAAAAUGUGUUAGUCUUACCAAGUUUUCUAAAAAUAUACUUGGAAAGUUAGCUACUUUUGGAAAAUAGUGUAAUAUUGUCAAGAUACAAUUCAGUAAUGCUUUGUCUAGCUCAGUUUUUCUGUUGCUGUUUAAGUUAUUCAUGGUUGUAGACUAAAAUGUUUGACAGUGUAGACAAAUAUGGUGGCCAGUAAGAAACAGUUUUGCUUUUCUUCCAGCUCCACACAUCUUCUGUAGUUAUAGUGCUGAGGUUUAGGAUGACCUCACUGUAUAGUGCUGAGGUUUAGGAUGACCUCACUGUAUAGUGCUGAGGUUUAGGAUGACCUCACUGUAUAGUGCUGAGGUUUAGGAUGACCUCACUGUAUAGUGCUGAGGUUUAGGAUGACCUCACUGUAUAGUGCUGAGGUUUAGGAUGACCUCACUGUAUGGAAGUUUGAAUGUUUACCUACUAUUAGACAUUAUGAGACUUAUAUCUGUUGUCACAUAGUGUACAGUAGUUGUUAAAAUGAUUACUUAAAAUAUAUUUUGUGAUUUAAAAACUAUUUUUGAAUUAUUGAAAUAUUGAGUCAUGUCAAAUGUAUAAUAAAGUACAUGACCAUAGAACAACAAUACACACACACAUACAUAUGCACACACAUACAUGCCCUCUGGUGUACACACACACACACACACACACACACAUAUGCCCUCUGGUGAGUGCACACACACACACGCCACUAGUUACUUAAUAAACAAAUGAUUUAUAAAUAAAUCUGAAUGUCUUAUUGACUGCUGAAAAAAUGUCUUCUGAUUGGUCAGUUGCUGCUUCCUUGGAGGUCUGUUCAAACCAUUGAAGUUAUCCUGAAAGUUAUACGAAACUUAUCACAAAUGAUUCAGAAGCGAAUAUUCAUUUAUCAAAAUGUUUUUAAAUAGAAUUGUGUGCUUUUGUACAGACUUUUGUAUGAAUUUGCAUAGAUUUGAAUUUAUUCUUUAUUCACAGAGUGUUUACUUUCUCUUAUUUGUUGACUCUUAUAUUUUAUCAUAUAUUGUCAACUCAGUACUUGCAAUAGAAUUAUUCUUUGACCAAAGCUUAUUAUCACUUGAGCACCGCCUCCAAUUCCUCCCCAAAGUAACCAUAGCCAAGGACCAGCACUUUUUUUUUUUCUACCUCUUCUUAUUUCUAUUGGUACUAAACCUUUGAAGACCUUUCAUUUUCAAGUGCACCCUUAGACUGCUCAAUUUAGACACACUUAAAACACAUUUAUUUUGUGCUACCAUAGAAGUUUUUUUUCUCUAACAAAUAAUUUGUGUUUAAAGUAGCUCCAAGUAGCCUCUACAUGGUACACUUUGAAACGAGUAUUUGGUAUCUCAUUCGACUCAAUUCUUCCAUUCAUUAGUAAUCAAAUACUUUUUGAAAGGAAAAAAAAAUUAUAUUUGAACAAAUUAGUACUGCCUGAGAAUUUAUCAGAAAUGUUUUUUUCUAAUUUUUUAAAAAUUAAAUUAUAAAAAAUAAUAUUUGUACAUACAGAGCCAUUAGGCCUACAAAUGUGUCCAGAUUGUAUUUUCUUGAAAAUAUUUUGCAUUGACAAUAAAAUUGUUCAAAUCUCAA
Biomphalaria glabrata is the source of this 4161-nucleotide long non-coding RNA. RefSeq lists it as uncharacterized. The record is from RefSeq and is a predicted model, not a curated record. NCBI's taxonomy places the organism in Eukaryota, Metazoa, Mollusca, Gastropoda, Planorbidae. The transcript has 2 exons.